AUGUCCCAGGAUCCUGACUUUGUUUCUUGGAGCCUCUCUCCUUGGGGAGAAUUCUCCAUUAGCUCGGCUUAUCAGGCGCUAUGCCGGUUGCCGGUUCUCCAGUGGUUAUCCCCAUUGUGGAAGGCGCAUAUGCCCCUGAAGAUCAAGAUUUUCGUUUGGCAACUUCUCAGAGAUCGUUUACCUUCGGGGACCGAGGUGCUAAAACGCCAUGGCCCGGGCAAUGGCCUUUGCCCUCUCUGCCACGACCCGGAAACGGGAACGCACAUUUUGUUCUCAUGUGUAACAGCGCAGGCACUUUGA
This 300-nucleotide ribosomal RNA is filed under the name Triticum aestivum (bread wheat). Its description in RNAcentral is "partial small subunit ribosomal RNA". The record is from RNAcentral. Lineage: Eukaryota; Viridiplantae; Streptophyta; Magnoliopsida; Poales; Poaceae.